CCUACGGGAGGCAGCAGUGGGGAAUAUUGGUCAAUGGACGAGAGUCUGACCCAGCCAAGUAGCGUGAAGGAUGACUGCCCUAUGAGUGGUAAACUUCUUUUGUAAAGGAAUAAAACGAGGCACGUAUGCCUUUUUGCAUUUACUUUAUGAAUAAGGAACGGAUAACUCCGUGCCAGCAGCCGCGGGAAUGCGGAGGAUCCGAGCGUUACACGGAUUUAUUGGUUUUAAAGGGAGCGUAGAUGGGUUGUUAAGUCAGUUGUGAAAGUUUGCGGCUCAACCGUAAAAUUGCAAUUGAUACUGGCAGUCUUGAGUACAGUAGAGGUAAGUGGAAUUCGUGGUGUAGCGGUGAAAUGCUUAGAUAUCACGAAGAACCCCGAUUGCGAAGGCAGCUUACUAAACUGUGACUGACAUUGAUGCUCGAAAGUGUGGGUAUCAAACAGGAUUAGAUACCCCAGUAGUC
Molecule: ribosomal RNA, 460 nt
Filed under: uncultured bacterium
Lineage: Bacteria
Description: partial 16S ribosomal RNA
Rfam family: Bacterial small subunit ribosomal RNA
Source: RNAcentral